RNAcentral lists this ribosomal RNA (334 nucleotides) under uncultured soil bacterium. RNAcentral describes it as "bacterial SSU rRNA". It matches the Rfam family "Bacterial small subunit ribosomal RNA", at positions 26 to 361 of the family's 1533-position model. The record is from RNAcentral.
AGAUUGAACGCUGGCGGCAUGCUUUACACAUGCAAGUCGAACGGCAGCACGGGGGCAACCCUGGUGGCGAGUGGCGAACGGGUGAGUAAUGCAUCGGAACGUAUCCUUAAGUGGGGGAUAACGCAUCGAAAGAUGCGCUAAUACCGCAUAAUCUCUGAGGAGAAAAGCAGGGGAUCGCAAGACCUUGCGCUUUUGGAGCGGCCGAUGUCUGAUUAGCUAGUUGGUGAGGUAAAGGCUUACCAAGGCUUCGAUCAGUUAGCUGGUCUGAGAGGACGACCAGCCACACUGGGACUGAGACACGGCCCAGACUCCUACGGGAGCAGCGAGUGGGGAA